Long non-coding RNA from Pezoporus flaviventris, 566 nucleotides. RefSeq lists it as uncharacterized. The record is from RefSeq and is a predicted model, not a curated record. NCBI's taxonomy places the organism in Eukaryota, Metazoa, Chordata, Aves, Psittaciformes, Psittacidae. The transcript has 2 exons.
AGAUUUCCCCUGGGAAAAUAAAAAAAAAAGCAAAGCAGGUUGUGAGGAUAUAUAACCCAAAUGUAAGCAUGUGUUUUGCCUUGAAGGAACACUAACUGCUCAUGGGAGAAGAAGGUAAAAAAUCUUCUUUUACCUCUAUUCCAUCUCGUCCUGGAAUUCCAUUGAGACCUGGCUCCCCCUAUGAAUAAUCCAACAUCAAGAUCAGUGAAAUAAGUAUAAGAUUGUAUUGUCCUGAUUAACUGAGUAGAUACCUCAUUGCAGUACAGGCAGCAUACCAGCUCCCUCUUUUUACCGUUUGAUGAUUUUACACAUUAUAUAUAAGCUUUUAAUUUGUAAAGAAUCUUAGUCUUUACUAUAGCAAAAGGGUGUAGGUGAUGUUCAAAACACUCACAGGUGGAAAGUACAUGGGCACUAUUAGGAUAGUCUUUUCAUAUUAAUGAAGUACCAACUCUUUCUCCUAAACCUGAAAAAUCACAUUACCUUUGUUCCUUUCAGGCCUGGAGCUCCAUCAUCACCAGUGCGACCCUUUUUACCCUGAAAACAAUGAAAUAAAAGUAACAAAAUUC